Long non-coding RNA from Solanum dulcamara, 329 nucleotides. RefSeq lists it as uncharacterized. Lineage: Eukaryota; Viridiplantae; Streptophyta; Magnoliopsida; Solanales; Solanaceae. The transcript is spliced from 2 exons. The record is from RefSeq and is a predicted model, not a curated record.
CAUCUUCCCCAAAUUUUCAAAAAAGUCUUUGGUUGAAGGUUUUAAAAAAAUUUCAUCACUCUCUUAUGAAAUCAGCUCCUAAAGAUAAGAAUUCGGUUUAAUUUCAAUCCAAAAAAUUAAUUUGAAGUCAUUCAAGGCUCACAAAGUGAAGGAAUAUCUUGCAGAUCCUAGCAAGUUUGCCGUUGUUGCUGCUGCUGCUAAGGAGGAGGAGAUGGAUGAGCCUGCUGAGGAGUCAGAUGAUGACAUGGGUUUCAGCUUGUUUGAUUAAGUCUAUUAUUUGUGAUUUAUCACUUUUUUUAUUUCAAAAAUAUAUUUCUCCUCUUAUGUUU